UACGUAGGGUGCGAGCGUUAAUCGGAAUUACUGGGCGUAAAGCGUGCGCAGGCGGUGAUGUAAGACAGAUGUGAAAUCCCCGGGCUCAACCUGGGAACUGCAUCUGUGACUGCAUUGCUGGAGUGCGGCAGAGGGGGAUGGAAUUCCGCGUGUAGCAGUGAAAUGCGUAGAUAUGCGGAGGAACACCGAUGGCGAAGGCAAUCCCCUGGGCCUGCACUGACGCUCAUGCACGAAAGCGUGGGGAGCAAACAGG
This 253-nucleotide ribosomal RNA is filed under the name uncultured bacterium. RNAcentral describes it as "partial 16S ribosomal RNA". It matches the Rfam family "Bacterial small subunit ribosomal RNA", at positions 524 to 776 of the family's 1533-position model. The record is from RNAcentral.